UUGACUGAAUUCACAAGUGAGUACCUUGCUAUUGCAGACAAAACUUAAGCAUGUUCUUUGGAAUGCUUAGAAGUGUGGUAGAAACUAUUUCUGUUUGGUUGGUUUUUCAACCUCCUGCUUGAUAAUUUUGCUGGAAUCAUUCCCUAUUACUCAUUUUAUUGACUUCAGCUGUAUCCCUUUAGUCAUAUCAUUUUCAGGCUAAAGAAUCCUGGUCUUUUUUAUUUCUUUCUGUAUGGAAUCCAUCCUUGCCUCUGCUGUUGUUGACAAGUUUGGCCAUCUACAUAAUUGUCCUCUUUUCCAGAUCAUUUAUGAAUAGGCAAAAAGCAAAGAUCCCUGCAGUGAUCCUUGUGGAAUCUUCCUUUUUGAAACAAAUGAACAUGUCUUUCUGUAUUUUAUUUUCUAUAUUUAAUACAUUGUCAUUUCUUGGGCAUAUCUUGUUUCCUACUUGUAAUAGCUUGUAUUUGUGUUCAAUGAGGAACACGGCUGAAAGCUUUUCUGAAAGUUCAACUAUAUGAUGUCAGAUAGCUCAUUCUUAUCCACAGGUACUAGAUGAUUUCUUCAGAUAAUUCUAGGAGCUUUACGAGCUAUAACUUCCAGCUACAAAAGCCAUGUUGAUUCUUUCUCAGGAUGUCACAUUGAUCCAAGUGAUCAUUAAUUUGUUUCUUCAUCGUUCUGGAAACCAAUUUCAGUGGUCUGAAGUUUGACUUUUGAGUAUGCAGUUUUCAGGAUUGCCCUUGAAGCACCUUUAAAGAUUGAUGUCACAUUUGUCACUUUCUGUUCCUCUAAAAGGUAAGCUAAAUACAUCUGCUUCAUCAGCAGUCACACGUUUGGAUUGUAGUAUAGACAUAGUCUAAAUAGCAGUCGAUGUAGCAACUAGAUACCCAUUGGUGUGGGUAAGAAGACUGAAUUGAUGCCAUCUGUGAAAUGCUAAGAAAUGACUAAGUACAUAUCUACAGACAAAAAGGUGUAACGUGUUUAUGAAGGCUCCAGGCAAGAACUGGCUCUAUUUAUGUAGCUGUACUGAGCUGACUGAGUUUUGCAUAGGAAAUAAUAACUGAACUACUUGUCAACAGUCUAAGCUGCACAUAACAGCAGCUGAGCUCAAGCCUGUCAGCAGGCAGGUGGAAAAAGUGGGCUGCAACCACAUCUGGCAGAGAUGCCCCCCAAUUAUGCUGUUAUGGAAAUGAUUUAUUAAUUACAAGGGAAAUUCUGCCUGUAGAUAUACCUCUGAGUUUAUUAGGCUGAUGAAGUUAAACUUCUUGAAGUCAUAGCAGAACCAAAAAAACCCCUCGCGGAACCGUUGCUGUUGUUGACAACAAAACACAAUUUAGCAAUUCUCCAUCAGCGAAGCAAAAAAUUUUCUCUGUCAGAGUGAUUUGCAAAAGUAUAUGGUGUCGUAUUAAUGAAAAAAACAUAUGGCUAUGAAGGAUGGCUCUGGAAUUGUGCUUUUGGAAGCACAGAACUUCAAGUGGCCAGUUCGGUUCUCAGAUUCUUGCGCUAUCCUCCACGGUCACACAUUGCCUCUCCAGACUUAGGCUAUGGUUGGCUGAGGAAGAAACUUCCUCAGCAACAUGGGGAAAACCAUGUGCUAUUUCCUUUCAGGAGCAUAUAUAUUGCAUAGUUGGGGUCAGAAGAAGGGGUUCUUUUCUGAUAACUCUCUUAGGGCCAAAUACAUGACAUGGGGGACAUAAGCUAAGAUAAACAUGAGGGCAAACUGCCCUCUAGGUUGCACUCUGUAGUUUGGAGGAAAAAAAAAAAGUUUUCAGCCACAGACUGAUUUGGUUUAACAAUGAGAGCAUUAGAAUUCCAAGAGUUCUGUUGUAUAUAUUUUGGGCAAAGAGAUAUAUUUUUAAAUUUAGGUACCUAACAAAAAUGGGCAUUAUCUGUAUUUCUCAGAUCUCUUGCCUGGAAAGAGUUGUACUUUAUUGUUUUAGACCCUGUUCUUGCUGUUCUAUCUUUUUUCUUAAUUCAAAGUGCUCCAAGGGUUUUCUUUCCCUCUCCCUUCUCUCUGUAGUUUUUGAUGUUCUCUAGAGAAUAUAGGUGGGUGAAUAAUAUCAAAUUUUAUCUCUGCAUCACCCCAGCUCAGCAUGAUCCCACAGAAGAAAAUGGAAAGAAUAAUUGACACUGGUCAAGACACUAAAGGCUGAACUUGAUCCAUAAUUAAACAAUACUUUCACGUGGCUGAGCAAAGAGCAGACAGCUAUCACUGCUCUCUGAUGUUCUUUUAGAAGGCUCAUCUCCAUUUGAAAGCUUCACUUUGGAAGGAUUUUUCCCUGCUAGUGUUUUUAGCAAAAUUUUAGAUUAUGCUCUAGAUAUCCACAUUAUUUUUUCUUUUUUUAUAUACUCUGCUACUUUUUCAUCUGUUGAUACCUAAUAUUAUGGCAUAAAUGCAAGAAUGUACAGAACUAACAAAAAAAAAUACUGGCACAAACAAUCCAAGAACUGAUCAUCCUUUGCCUCUCCUACUAGGAAGCAAGGAGAAGGAACUGUCCUUAGGGAUUUGCAUUUCCUCACUUAUUUGGGGUGGUGUGGAAAAGAACGAGCACAGAUUGGUGUGCUCUGGCAGAGAAGGUGUUACCCAGAAACAAGAUGCUCUUUGAGCAUCCUUGGGACACUGGCAAGGCUCCUUUAGGAUGGAGUGAUACAGUGUAGCAUAUCAGAACAAAACAACAAAAAUCACAGGCAAAAACAAAACCUGAGAAGUGUACGUGUCUGCUUCUACUGUGCAUGAUCAGCAAGAUAUCCUUGACUACAUGAACAGAUAUCCUACUGUCUCCUUGUGUGUAAAAUCAGUUUGAGCACUACAGUUAGUCCAAAGUUUCAUUCUUCCAUUUUAGAUGCGACUCUGAAAUCGCAAGGCUCAUGACAGUGCCAAAGGGUCUCUCUCUUACUACAGGUGUUCUCAGUACCCACCUUAGCAGUGAGGUUCCCAAUAUAGAGGUGACUCAGAAAUGCUGCUUCCUGUUUUUUUACUUAAGCUCCAUCUAACCAAGGCCUACCUAACUAAAUGAGACCAGGCAUAGUCUAGAAACGGUGUCAGCUCCCCCUGUGUUAGACAGAAAUCAAAUAAUGGCUUUUUCUAGGGCAUUUGGUUGCAAAGAUGUAGGAGCGCUUCAGUGCUGAUGCUCUUGCACCAAUUCUAGCCUUUUAUGGACAGAAAUAUGUUGCAAAGCAUCCACUUCUCACCAGGACUCCCUGCUGAAAGGUCUAGCUUCAGCACUCAUCGGGGCCCUGAGCUUUUCCCAAACCCUUCCAGUCCAUCAUAUGUCCACUUGCACAACAUCCAUGCAGCUCCCUGCCUACAUCACCCUUCUUGCGGAGCAUCUGGCUGUGAGUGGGGAUGUGUAGCAGCUGGAGAAAGAUUAAAUCACAUAACUAGUCUCGCUUGCUUGGGGUUUAUAAAGAGCUCUUCCACUCGGGUGUCUUCUGCCUGCUAAUCCUGGCGGUACAGGCCACCUGUCAAUUUGUUAACAUGUAUUAUUCAAGAAGCCCUAUUUCACAGCAAUGAGAAUUUUUGCCCAUGUAAAUCUAAGUAAUCCUUCUUAUUUUGUCCAUAAAUAACCCUUUACUAAUCACUUACAAAAUAGGCCUAGGCUGUGCUAUUGUAUACCAGAUAACUACUGUCUAGCAUCAUCUUUGCCAUAUGAAUUUCAGUUAUGUUCCUACACACUGUAUUGAUAAAAUUGAUUGUAGGGAAAUGGUGCAAUAAUUUAUUAAAAAGAUACAGAAUAGUAAUUCUGUUAGUUACGAUUUUUCAUUGCAGGUAUUCCUAAAUGCUUCUGGACACAUAUACCCACACUCCAUUACAGUGGGGGAAAAAAUUAAGCAGGAAAAGCCCUGGGCUGAAAAAAUACUUAACUUUCUUGAUGAUUUCCAUAAUAUUCUGUUCUCUUGGUGUAUUAGCAUAUUGUCAUUCCUGCUUUUCUUUUUGUUCUUUAAAAAAGUCUAUUUGCAUAAUUAUGUUGAGUACAAUCUCUCUUUCAGGUUGUUCCUGGAUGCCAUGUAUUUAGCAUUGCAUAUUACUAAAGAGGAUAAGCUUCACUGUAUUCACGAUUUCCUGGACCUGGAAGAAACGGCACUGGUGGUGUUUACUGUGCUGUUACUGCUGUGCUUAUGAAAAAAACAGCCUUUGGGUAAAUAAAAAAAAAUGGAUGUUUUAGUAAUACUGCACAAAAUCUGGAAUUGUCCUAUUUAACUUGAGAAAAAUUGCAUGGGAUACGUAUGAAUAUAAAAUCUUAUUUGUUCAUAGAAGGAAAACUGAAUAAUUUUCCAAACCCAAAUUCUGUUAUGUGUUCUUCAUCCCAGAUGUAAAACACAGGUGUGUAUCCAUACCUAAGUAAAGGUCUUUUUUGAUUCUUUUCAUGUUUUCUACAAUACAGAAAUUUUGGUUUCUGGGAUUCUGUUUACCUUUCUGGAGAAGACGGGGUAAAAAAGAGUAUUAUAAAUGCAACUACUCAGAGCUGAUCAGAAUUUAAGCAUGAAAGCAAAGCAAUAAGAGGCAAAUAGAUAAUUACAGCGAGACAGAAAUGAAGAGACUUACAGGAAUCCCGUGUCUGUGUACUGAGAUAGUAUUACUUUGAAGGUCCAGUGAGUAUUUUCUGAUAAUCGUUAAUCCAUAAGUAGCUUUGGCUAUAAUAAAAUGUAUCUGAUACUGUUGUAAAUACUUUACCUGUAUUGUGAGAGUAAUUAAUUAUUGUGCUAGUUAUAAGAUAUCAAAGAAAAAAGCUGUGAAGAUUGCUGUCAUUGCAGGAAGAGGAGGACAAAAGGUGUGAAGAAGAAGGCGCUGAAUUUGGUGUAAGAGCUAAGAGACAGCACCUACUCUGGAGAGCUCCUAUAUCUGCAAUGCAAAGAAAGAUAUGAAGAACCGUAAGGAAUCAAAGCCAUACUGUACGGUGUUCAUUGCUCAUGAUUGAAGAUGACUCCAACAGUAUGUUACACUGAGCCAACAGCUUCAAGCAUCACCCUAACAUCAGUGAUGAGUCCGAGGUACCUUUUGGCAUCACAGAGCUAUAGAGGUGCGUGCUCCAUCUCCGUGACACAUGAGAGAGUGAUACCACAUCACACAGACUUGCCUCACACCCCAAAAUUGCUAGGAGAGUUUUGGCACACGGAAGUUAUUUGCGGAUAGCCUACCUAGUCCUGUGGCCAAAUGCCGAGACACGAGCAAAAGCUUGGAAAGGGUAAGUCUGACCUAUGUAAAUCCUGCUCCAAGACAGCUGACUGUCUCUGUUUGGUCCAGCAGGUCCAGGUGUGGUCCUGGACAGCUUGGGAUGGUGUUUGUGACUCCACGCAUCAUGCAUUUUAGAUUAUUUAAUUUAACAUUGCUUCGGAAACCCUUUUAAAAGCAGUGGACCUCUAGCCUUCAAUUCGUUCCAGAUAACGUUUUUGAUUUCUGUUCUUUUUUUUCCCAGCUCUUCUUGUCCUCAAGGUUGCAGGCAACUUGCUUUGUGAGUAAAAAGAUCUGUUAUUUCCUAAAUGAGAACCUACCCCUCUGCAUUAUGUAGGAGUAAUGUAGGAUGUAAGAAGUGGUGACCCUUUAUAAUGGAUUUUUUUCCAUUUGCUUCACUGAGUCUUCAAGGACUACAUUUUGAUUCUUCCUUCGUGUUUUUACCUCAGAGGUUGGCAUGUUAGGGUUAUGAAACUAGAAAAGCUCUAGUCAGAUCAAAAGAGGUGGCAAAUAAGUGCAUUAAGUGCAUAAAAUCUUCCCCUUCAACAAAUAUGUUUUAUAUGAGCACAGCAUCAGUGCAUUACACCACAAAAUCAAUGCAAUUUACACAACAUUACGCAGGUUCUCUCCACCCUUUUACCUCUCCCCUCAUAGCAUAAAAUAAAAUAAAAUGAUCCUUUGUGCAUUUCUCAAUAAAUGCACUUCUGAUAUCCUUCUUAUCAAAUCAGUCUGACACUCUUCCCUUUCAAGCCUGACAUGCCAUUAAAUUGAUGUGUAAAGAUUUUUAAAAGCCCCACAAACCAUCUUAAUUUAUACAUUUCUUAAUGGUAUAAGGUAUAAAUGGCUUUUAAAAAUUUGAGGUGGUCUAAUCAUGUGUUUUAAAAUCCAUGUCUUGAAGGGAUGAAGAAUGCAGCUUAUUUUAAUCUGUCAUAGUGACUGCCUCACUCAUUAGUUGCUAUGCCUCUUCUUAGAAAUGUGUAUCCACUGUAACCAUGAAAAUUCAACAUUCAUCCUCCUGCUUGAGGACAUGUUUAUUUUGAAACAAGAACUAUACUGUGGUUCCUUUAUGCAAUAUUUACAUGGAAGCAUUUAUUGCUAUUGUGAAAUUUGCAGCCCAUGUAAUGAUGCCCACUGUUACACCUGCAAUUUGUGCAUUUCUUGAUUUGUUUCUAGGAAUGCCUACUUUGCAUACUUGUGCAUUCAAAAAAUUACUUUUAGUAUUCCCUAAACAAAUCCAAUGUUAAUGAGCAUAAUAAAUCAGUUUUAAAAAUCCAUAUAUUUGCUUUUGUGGGAAGAGAAUAGAAGUCAGGAAACUUAAUCGUCAACUCACCUUUGCUGCUCUUUCUAAUCGAAGCCACGGUCUGAAAAGACAAGGUGGCUUUGGACUGCAUUUGAAAGCUUUUGAGCUUGUGUCCUGUCUGGUAAAGUGCUGGAAAUGUCAGAAAUCAGGAUUUCCAGUGGAUACUGUUGGACCAUAUCACUGUCGCACUGACUUAAGAACAAGUAGCUAUAGUACAGUGGCAGAAUGAGGGAUACAAGAAACUCUUGGUUGGGCUGGAUGUACCACUCCUCUUGGUGUAAGGGAAAACAUCAGAGUCUGCCCACAAA
Long non-coding RNA from Dromaius novaehollandiae (emu), 6775 nucleotides. RefSeq lists it as uncharacterized. The transcript is spliced from 3 exons. Lineage: Eukaryota; Metazoa; Chordata; Aves; Casuariiformes; Dromaiidae. The record is from RefSeq and is a predicted model, not a curated record.